AGGUGAAAAGAACCCCGGGAGGGGAGUGAAAGAGAACCUGAAACCCUGUGCUUACAAGCAAUGGGAGCGCAAGUGACCAUGUACUUUUUGUAGAACGGGCCAACGAGUUAUGGUAUGCAGCGAGGUUAAGUUCCUGGAGGAACGGAGCCGUAGGGAAACCGAGUCUGAAUAGGGCGGCUAGUUGCAUGCUGUAGACCCGAAACCGGGUGACCUAUCCAUGUGCAGGUUGAAGUAACCGUAAAAGGUUAUGGAGGACCGAACUUAUAUCCGUUGAAAAGGGUUAGGAUGACGUGUGGAUAGCGGUGAAAUUCCAAUCGAACUCGGAGAUAGCUGGUUCUCCUCGAAAUAGCUUUAGGGCUAGCCUCAAGGGAAGAUACGCGGGGGUAGAGCACUGAAUGUUCUAGGGGCCUUCACCGGUUACCGAAAACUAUCAAACUCCGAAUACCGUAGUAUUAUACUUGGGAGUCAGACUACGAGAGAUAAGUUCCGUGGUCAAAAGGGAAACAGCCCAGACCUACAGCUAAGGUCCCAAAAUGUAGAUUAAGUGGAAAAGGAUGUGGAGCUGCAUAGACAACUAGGAUGUUGGCUUAGAAGCAGCCACUCAUUUAAAGAGUGCGUAAUAGCUCACUAGUCGAGUGACUCUGCGCCGAAGAUAAACGGGGCUAAAAUCUACUACCGAAGCUUAGGAAUUACUUUAAAGUAAUUGGUAGAGGAGCAUCGUAUGCGGGCAGAAGCUGUGCUGGAAGGCAUGGUGGACUGCAUAGGAGAGAGAAUGUUGGCAUGAGUAGCGUAAGGCAGGUGAGAAUCCUGUCCGCCGAAAAUCUAAGGUUUCCUGAGGAAGGUUCGUCCACUCAGGGUUAGUCGGGACCUAAGCCGAGAGCAAGGCGCUGUAGGCGAUGGACAACAGGUUGAUAUUCCUGUACCACCGAAAGUCGUUUGAGCGAAGUGGGGACACAGAAGGAUAGGUUGAGCACGCUGUUGGUAAUGCGUGUCCAAGCGUCGAGGGAGAACUGGUAGGCAAAUCCGCGAGUUCAAUUCUGAGGCGUGAUGGGGUGGCCGCAAGGCUGGAAGCAACUGAUUUCACACUGUCAAGAAAAGCCGCUAGCGAGACCGUAGGUGCCCGUACCGCAAACCGACACAGGUAGAUGAGGAGAGAAUCCUAAGGUGAGCGAGAGAACUAUUGUUAAGGAACUCGGCAAAAUGACCCCGUAACUUAGGGAGAAGGGGUGCCUGUCUAUGACAGGCCGCAGAGAAUAGGCCCAAGCGACUGUUUACCAAAAACACAGGUUUCUGCUAAGUCGCAAGACGAUGUAUAGGAGCUGACGCCUGCCCGGUGCUGGAAGGUUAAGGGGAUCUGUUAGAGCAAUCGAAGCAGUGAACUUAAGCCCCAGUAAACGGCGGCCGUAACUAUAACGGUCCUAAGGUAGCGAAAUUCCUUGUCGGGUAAGUUCCGACCCGCACGAAAGGCGUAACGAUUUGGGCACUGUCUCAACAAUAGACUCGGUGAAAUUGUAAUCCCGGUGAAGAUGCCGGGUACCUGCGACAGGACGGAAAGACCCCAUGGAGCUUUACUGUAGCUUGACGUUGGGUCUUGGUACUACAUGUACAGGAUAGGUGGGAGACUAUGAAGCAUGGACGCCAGUCUGUGUGGAGUCAUCCUUGGGAUACCACCCUUGUAGUACUGGGAUCCUAACCAUAGGCCUUGAAUCAGGUCUUGGAACACCGUCAGGUGGGCAGUUUGACUGGGGCGGUCGCCUCCUAAAAAGUAACGGAGGCGCUCAAAGGUUUCCUCAGCACGGUCGGAAAUCGUGCGAAGAGUGUAAAGGCAAAAGGAAGCUUGAUUGCAAGACAUACAGGUCGAGCAAGGACGAAAGUCGGACUUAGUGAUCCGGUGGUACCGCAUGGAAGGGCCAUCGCUCAACGGAUAAAAGCUACCCUGGGGAUAACAGGCUUAUCUCCCCCAAGAGUCCACAUCGACGGGGAGGUUUGGCA
RNAcentral lists this ribosomal RNA (1992 nucleotides) under human gut metagenome. RNAcentral's name for it is "bacterial LSU rRNA". It matches the Rfam family "Bacterial large subunit ribosomal RNA", at positions 512 to 2523 of the family's 2925-position model. The record is from RNAcentral.